GAUGAACGCUGGCGGCGUGCCUAAUACAUGCAAGUCGAGCGAACAGAUAAGGAGCUUGCUCCUUUGACGUUAGCGGCGGACGGGUGAGUAACACGUGGGUAACCUACCUAUAAGACUGGAAUAACUCCGGGAAACCGGGGCUAAUGCCGGAUAACAUUUAGAACCGCAUGGUUCUAAAGUGAAAGUUGGUUUUGCUAUCACUUAUAGAUGGACCCGCGCCGUAUUAGCUAGUUGGUAAGGUAACGGCUUACCAAGGCAACGAUACGUAGCCGACCUGAGAGGGUGAUCGGCCACACUGGAACUGAGACACGGUCCAGACUCCUACGGGAGGCAGCAGUAGGGAAUCUUCCGCAAUGGGCGAAAGCCUGACGGAGCAACGCCGCGUGAGUGAUGAAGGUCUUCGGAUCGUAAAACUCUGUUAUUAGGGAAGAACAAAUGUGUAAGUAACUGUGCACGUCUUGACGGUACCUAAUCAGAAAGCCACGGCUAACUACGUG
RNAcentral lists this ribosomal RNA (497 nucleotides) under uncultured bacterium. Its description in RNAcentral is "partial 16S ribosomal RNA". It matches the Rfam family "Bacterial small subunit ribosomal RNA", at positions 28 to 507 of the family's 1533-position model. The record is from RNAcentral.